Molecule: long non-coding RNA, 1130 nt
Filed under: Callithrix jacchus (white-tufted-ear marmoset)
Lineage: Eukaryota; Metazoa; Chordata; Mammalia; Primates; Cebidae
Description: lncRNA (ENSCJAG00000070386.1)
Source: RNAcentral
UAGGUUCUGAUAAUUCAAAAUGGUGAUGGUAGGAACUAUGGAGGCUAUAUCCAUAUGACGGUACUAGGGAGUGCUGGUUGAGUAUCAACCAAAAUGCAUGUUUUCAAGUUCAUAGAUAGGAAACACUCAACCUAAUGACCAAGAAGAAUCUGCCAUACAGAGGAGGCUUAAAUCAGACAAAGCUUAUACACAGACACACUAUAGACAGAUGUCACAGAGGAUUUCCAUCUUUUCCCCACUUUUUCAGCACUGACUUCUUUUUUCCUCACAGAAGAACAUCUUAAACCGCUUGAAAUGUCUUGCAAAAUGUUUCAUCUCUCCAAAGAGAAAAUUACCCUUAUAUGCUAGAAAACUGCCACUCCAUAAUAUAUCAAAGAAGAGGAAAAAACUGUUAUGAUGUGUAAGUAUUAGAAACUUUGAGAGAUGGCAAUGCAAUUAAAGAUUUGUGGUUUCCAGGAAAUUAUGCAAGUUAAAGAAUCUGAAUGUUCCCCACUUUAGAUCAAUCCUUAGACAAAAUUUCUCUACUGCAAAUGAGAAAUAGACUAGCUUAUGCCUCACAAGCCUAACCUAAGAGAACAUAGGAUAAAGAAAAGAAGAACACACUCUUUUGGCAUAAUGUACAAAAAGCAUGUCAACAAAGGUCAUAAAUCUUUAUAUAAAAUCAGAAAUAGAGCUACUGAUAGGGAGUAAACUAUCUUGGUGGGAACCAUCUUUUUUAAUAUACUAGCUCAAAAAUUAUAUUUAUAUACAUAUUCGUCCAUUUUCAUACUGCUGUGAAGAACAUCCUAAGACUGGGUAAUUUGUAAAGGAAUGAGGUUUAAUUGACUCUCAGUUCAACGUGGCUCAGAAGACCUCAGGAAACCGACAAUCAUAGCGGAAGGCAAGUGGGAAGCAAGGCACCUUCUUCACAAGAUGGCAGGAAGUGCUGAGUGAAGGGGGAAGAACCCUUUAUAAAACCAUCAGAUCUUGUGAGAACUCACUCUUUAUCAAGAGAACAGCAUGGAGGAAAACAUCCCUAUGGUUUAAUAACUUCUAUCUGUUCUCUCCCCUGACGUGGGGAUUAUGGGGAUUAUAAUUCAAGAUGUGAUGUGGGUGGAGACAUAAAGCCUAACCAUAUCAACAUAGUAAAU